RNAcentral lists this ribosomal RNA (567 nucleotides) under Distichopora foliacea. Its description in RNAcentral is "partial 16S large subunit ribosomal RNA". It matches the Rfam family "Bacterial large subunit ribosomal RNA", at positions 1833 to 2594 of the family's 2925-position model. The record is from RNAcentral. Lineage: Eukaryota; Metazoa; Cnidaria; Hydrozoa; Anthoathecata; Stylasteridae.
CUUAGAACAAAUCUAAGGCGAAACCUGCCCAGUGACCUAAAACAAAACUUAAAUGUUUUUAAAAAAGUUAAAAGGACGCAGUAACCUGACUGUGAUAAUGUAGCGUAAUCAUUCGCCAUUUAAUUGGUGGAUAGUAUGAAUGGUUUAACGAGUUCUCCACUUUCUAAAGAAGAGAAAAUCUGAAAUUUGAAUAGUAGUCAAGAUACUACUUAAAAUUGUAAGACGAAAAGACCCUAUAGAGCUUAACUAUACCACUUCUUGUAUUUUGAGAAGGGGGGUUAGUUUAGUUGGGGCGACUGCCUUUUAAAAAAAACAAAGGCAAACAAAGUUAAUAAAAAAACUUACUGUAAAAUUAAUAAAUUUAACAGUUACUAAUGUAGGUAAUAAAGACCCGUUAUAAUUUAAGCAAAAAAGAUAACGAUCAAUAAAUAAAAGCUACCUUAGGGAUAACAGGAUAAUUUUGUUAUAGAGACCUUAUCGAAAACAAAGUUUGUCACCUCUAUGUUGAAUUAAGAUACCCAGACAGAGCAGCAUCUGUCAAAGGUAGGUCUGUUCGACCUUUAAAAU